AGUGAACGCUGGCGGUAGGCCUAACACAUGCAAGUCGAACGGCAGCACAGUAAGAGCUUGCUCUUACGGGUGGCGAGUGGCGGACGGGUGAGGAAUACAUCGGAAUCUACUUUUUCGUGGGGGAUAACGUAGGGAAACUUACGCUAAUACCGCAUACGACCUACGGGUGAAAGCAGGGGAUCUUCGGACCUUGCGCGAUUGAAUGAGCCGAUGUCGGAUUAGCUGGUUGGCGGGGUAAAGGCCCACCAAGGCGACGAUCCGUAGCUGGUCUGAGAGGCUGAUCAGCCACACUGGAACUGAGACACGGUCCAGACUCCUACGGGAGGCAGCAGUGGGGAAUAUUGGACAAUGGGCGCAAGCCUGAUCCAGCCAUACCGCGUGGGUGAAGAAGGCCUUCGGGUUGUAAAGCCCUUUUGUUGGGAAAGAAAAGCAGCAGGUUAAUACCCCGCUGUUCUGACGGUACCCAAAGAAUAAGCACCGGCUAACUUCGUG
RNAcentral lists this ribosomal RNA (492 nucleotides) under uncultured bacterium. Its description in RNAcentral is "partial 16S ribosomal RNA". It matches the Rfam family "Bacterial small subunit ribosomal RNA", at positions 29 to 507 of the family's 1533-position model. The record is from RNAcentral.